GCAAGUGUCCCCAACCCCAGUGGAGCCACAAACACGAGCAGUGGUGGCCCCUGCCCUCCUGGACACUUCUGCCCAGCUGGCACCAGCAUCCCCCAGCCGUGCCCUGUGGGCACUUACUCACACAGGCUCCACAAUGGGCAGGAUUCCAGCUGCACUGAGUGCCCACCUGGCCAGUUCUGUGGCUCCCCUGGCCUCACAGCCCCCUCAGGACCCUGCUCACCUGGGUACUUCUGCCAGCCUGGCGCUUCCUCACCGUCACCAGCUGGUGUGCGGCAGAGAGGAGGCCCUUGCCCUGUGAGCCAUUUCUGCCCAGAAGGGACCAGCUCUCCCUUGCCCUGCCGUGCAGGGACUUACAACAACCUCUCCACACAAGCUGCCUGCUUCCCCUGUGCUGCAGGCUACUUCUGCCCGGAGAACACCACCAGCUACAGCACAAACCCCUGCCCAGCUGGAUUUUACUGCCCCAAAGGCACCAGGUUUGCCACGGAGUUUCCCUGUCCCAGGGGCUACUACAACCCUGACCCCAUGAGCCAGAGCUUGGACAGCUGCCUGCCCUGCCCACCUGGGCACUACUGUGGGCAGGAGGGGCUGACAGCAGCCUCAGGCAGGUGUGACCCAGGUGAGCGUGGGGCUGCUGGGGUCA
This 643-nucleotide long non-coding RNA is filed under the name Zonotrichia albicollis (white-throated sparrow). RNAcentral describes it as "lncRNA (ENSZALG00000004601.1)". Lineage: Eukaryota; Metazoa; Chordata; Aves; Passeriformes; Passerellidae. The record is from RNAcentral.